RNAcentral lists this transfer RNA (87 nucleotides) under Desulfurellales bacterium. RNAcentral describes it as "tRNA-Thr". It matches the Rfam family "tRNA". Rfam says of the family: Transfer RNA (tRNA) molecules are approximately 80 nucleotides in length. Their secondary structure includes four short double-helical elements and three loops (D, anti-codon, and T loops). Lineage: Bacteria; Pseudomonadati; Campylobacterota; Desulfurellia; Desulfurellales. The record is from RNAcentral.
GCUGGAGUGCCCGAGUGGCUGAAGGGACCGGUUUUGUAAACCGGUAGCGAAAGCUCGUCGCAGGUUCGAAUCCUGUCUCCAGCUCCA